AGAAGGAAGCUUGCUUCUUUCAAAUCUAGUGGCAAACGGGUGAGUAACACGUAAACAACCUGCCUUCAGGAUGGGGACAACAGACGGAAACGACUGCUAAUACCGAAUACGUUCCUUAGGUCGCAUGACUUUAGGAAGAAAGGGUGGCCUCUACCUGUAAGCUAUCGCCUGAAGAUGGGCUCGCGUCCGAUUAGAUAGUUGGUGGGGUAACGGCCUACCAAGUCGACGAUCGGUAGCCGGACUGAGAGGUCGAACGGCCACAUUGGGACUGAGACACGGCCCAGACUCC
This 289-nucleotide ribosomal RNA is filed under the name uncultured Veillonellaceae bacterium. RNAcentral's name for it is "partial 16S ribosomal RNA". It matches the Rfam family "Bacterial small subunit ribosomal RNA", at positions 70 to 339 of the family's 1533-position model. The record is from RNAcentral. Lineage: Bacteria; Bacillati; Bacillota; Negativicutes; Veillonellales; Veillonellaceae.